CUAGUGGUGGUUCAGUAGUAGAGCUCUUGCCUUCCAUGCAAAAGACCAGGAUUCGAUUUCUGGCCAAUGUA
RNAcentral lists this transfer RNA (71 nucleotides) under Loxodonta africana (African savanna elephant). It matches the Rfam family "tRNA". Rfam says of the family: Transfer RNA (tRNA) molecules are approximately 80 nucleotides in length. Their secondary structure includes four short double-helical elements and three loops (D, anti-codon, and T loops). Lineage: Eukaryota; Metazoa; Chordata; Mammalia; Proboscidea; Elephantidae. The record is from Rfam by way of RNAcentral.